Long non-coding RNA from Mauremys reevesii (Reeves's turtle), 167 nucleotides. RefSeq lists it as uncharacterized. The record is from RefSeq and is a predicted model, not a curated record. The transcript is spliced from 3 exons. NCBI's taxonomy places the organism in Eukaryota, Metazoa, Chordata, Testudines, Geoemydidae.
CAAUAAAGCUGGUGAGACUAUUUAUGAACAGAAAAAGGAGGCCAACAGAUUUUGACCCUCACAUAGCUUUUGUGCAAGGGAAGAUCCAGCUUUUGGAAUCAAAGAAACUCACAGUCCAGGGUGGCACCUGAUUUUUGCAGCUCGGGAUGUCAACCUGCCUAUUCCAG